This 439-nucleotide ribosomal RNA is filed under the name uncultured bacterium. RNAcentral's name for it is "partial 16S ribosomal RNA". It matches the Rfam family "Bacterial small subunit ribosomal RNA", at positions 339 to 795 of the family's 1533-position model. The record is from RNAcentral.
CUACGGGUUGCAGCAGUGGGGAAUAUUGCACAAUGGAGGAAACUCUGAUGCAGCAACGCCGCGUGGAGGAUGACACUUUUCGGAGCGUAAACUCCUUUUAUAUAGGAAGAAGAUGACGGUACUAUAUGAAUAAGCGCCGGCUAACUCCGUGCCAGCAGCCGCGGUAAUACGGAGGGCGCAAGCGUUACUCGGAAUCACUGGGCGUAAAGAGCGUGUAGGCGGAUUAAAAAGUCAGAAGUGAAAUCCUAUAGCUUAACUAUAGAACUGCUUCUGAAACUCUUAAUCUAGAAUAUGGGAGAGGUAGAUGGAAUUUCUGGUGUAGGGGUAAAAUCCGUAGAGAUCAGAAGGAAUACCGAUUGCGAAGGCGAUCUACUAGAACAUUAUUGACGCUGAGACGCGAAAGCGUGGGGAGCAAACAGGAUCAGAUACCCCGGUAGCC